CAAAUCACUUCCAUGGAAAUCAUGAAAAAUAUAGAUGCCAAAAAUCUGCAAGUAGCAAAAGGCAUCACAUCACGAUCUGUUUGAUACAUCUGCCAAGUUUUGUAGAAAGGUAUUGAACGGUUUUCGAGUUGUGCUCCGGAAACGAAGCCUCACCCAUCCCUUUUGAGACGAAGCCUGAACUCUUUCCAUGGAAACCGAGAAAAGAAUAAAUCACAAAAGUCUGUAAAUAGCAACAGGCCCCAACUUAAGUUCUGUUUGAUUUAUCUACCAAUUUUUGUUGAAAAAUAUUAAACGGUUUUUGAGGAAUGCUCC
Haliotis rubra (blacklip abalone) is the source of this 312-nucleotide long non-coding RNA. RefSeq lists it as uncharacterized. NCBI's taxonomy places the organism in Eukaryota, Metazoa, Mollusca, Gastropoda, Lepetellida, Haliotidae. The record is from RefSeq and is a predicted model, not a curated record. The transcript has 2 exons.